AUCGAAAUCCCCCGAGGUUUCUCGGGGGGAGGCUUUGUUCCGUAGGUGAACCUGCGGAAGGAUCAUUAACAGAGAAGAGGGUCCCUCGGGGCCCAAACUCACCCACCCUUUGUGAACUUACCUUUGUUGCUUUGGCGAGCCGUGGGGCCUUCGGACCCCCCGUCGACUCCGGUGGACGUGUGCCCGUCAGAGACCCUCUUAAUUCUGAUAAUUAGNGAAGUCCGAGUUAAAAUAUAAUCGUUAAAACUUUCAACAACGGAUCUCUUGGUUCUGGCAUCGAUGAAGAACGCAGCGAAAUGCGAUAAGUAAUGUGAAUUGCAGAAUUCAGUGAAUCAUCGAAUCUUUGAACGCACAUUGCGCCCUCUGGUAUUCCGGGGGGCAUGCCUGUUCGAGCGUCAUUACACCUCUCAAGCCCAGCUUGGUAUUGGGCGUCGUCCCCUGGGGCGCGCCCGAAAGUUAGCGGCGACGCGGUCGGUCUUCAAGCGUAGUAAAACUUCUGUUUCGCUUUCGGAGCCCGGGCGUGCCCGCCGGAUAACCCCCAAUUUUUCAAUGGUUGACCUCGGAUCAGGUAGGGAUACCCGCUGAACUUAAGCAUAUCAAUAAGCGGAGGAAAAGAAA
RNAcentral lists this ribosomal RNA (618 nucleotides) under Xylographa parallela. Its description in RNAcentral is "eukaryotic LSU rRNA". The stretch from base 245 to 398 matches the Rfam family "5.8S ribosomal RNA". Lineage: Eukaryota; Fungi; Ascomycota; Lecanoromycetes; Baeomycetales; Xylographaceae. The record is from RNAcentral.